UUUAUGUCGUUCCAAGAAGACGACGCAAGUUUUGGCUUGCUACCAAGGUUUUUCAUUGUGUUUACCAAGAAGAUUGUGCGUGCAUCCAAGAAAAACCACAAGUCCAUUUCUUGUAACCACAAAGAUACUUCAAUGAUGUGUGGGUUUGUGCAACUGUGUGGUGGUGACCUAGAGAAUAAAGCUCUGGAUAUGAAAACAUCUGCCUGGUUUCUGCCGGACUGCCUGUAGUGGGUCAGACCAAAGUACAGCCAGCGUUAAGUCAUUAGCUGGUGAGGGUUCAGAAGCCAACCGCUCAGAUGGCUCCAGCUGGCCCUUUUUAUACCCAGUUACUCGUUAACAAGGAAUUCUGGGAUCGUACACUCCCAAUUACUGUGCAUGAACUGAAACUGACGUUUUCUGGUGUCUGAACUGCAUGACACUUGCACUUGGAAAGAGGAGACGUCAUAGCGUCACGUCAAUACACACCCAACCAACUAGCUAGUACCACUUACGUUGUGGUGGGAAUAUUUGAAUUUCUGUGUCAGUUAGCGAGAGAGAUCCCUAGAUCCGUAGACACCUCCGUAGACAUCCACUCACUGCCUGUCCGCAACAUUAGCUGUGGUUUCAACGAGAAGACUUCAAGACUUUCAACAAAGUCGACUUCGAAGGACUUCAAAUGAACCAUGGUCUAGGAACAAUUUACACAGUAGGUCUUAUGUUAGUGUGGUGGUUGUACAUUUCAAUGAUUUACUAGCUAGCUAACGUUAGUCAGCUGAAUUAAGUGCCAGAGAUGAAUAAACAUAUUUUAGCUAGCUACUUUGUGUUAAGCAAGAGUUUAGGGGUUAGUUGUUGCAAGGUCCUUGAAUGCCUUAUAAAAUAAGCUGUUUAUCAAGGUAAUAAGACUUACGAGCACACUGUGUCCUAUUGCAGGGAAGUGAUGUGUUUUGUUUUUGUGAGUGUAGGGAAAAACCUGUGAUCGAUAUUGAAGCAUAGAGGUGUUUUACGGAGACAUGAACAAUUAUUCUACUCCAUAUCCCUACACACCAGUCUCCUCUGCUACCUCCCAGGGAGGAGGAAUACCCUGAACUCCUCGUUCUCACAGGACUCAGGCUAGUACGCUGUUUCCAGCCCGGGCAUGCAAAGCUCCCUGUUACCCAGAGGACCCCCAUGCACCUCCUCAGCUAUCACAUGGGUCGCCCACGUACCCCCUACUGCCCCCUUAAUGAGCCCCAGGUCUACCCCACAUGCAAUACCACCCCCUUCACUCCAGGACGAGCAGCCCCCUCUGGCAGACCGGUACAGAGAGAAGGACAAGGACAGAGCGGGACAAGGACUCAGGAGUGAGGUAUGUGCCAGUAGGAUCAGCUCUAGAAGGUCAUCUUACCAGGAGGCCAACUCUUCCUCAAAUGAUUCGCACCACUCUGAGUGAGAGUGAGGGGAGAAGGGCUACAGACGGGACAGACUGGGCUCCAGAGAUUUCCGCAGACACCGUAUCCACCACUCCCACAAUCAUAGCAGCAGUAGCAGAGCAGCCAUGACAGCAGGAACAGAAACAGCGAUUACUCCAACAGCUCCGAUCCCACCACACCCCUCUGCUUCCCCCACUGCACCCUCCCUCCCUCCUGCUGCAUCUGUGAUAGCCCAGGACUGUGGCCAGGAUGGCCCGGCCAAGCCCAAACGCCAUGUGUAUCUAGGGCUGAGCGAUGUGGCCAAAAU
Long non-coding RNA from Oncorhynchus masou masou (cherry salmon), 1695 nucleotides. RefSeq lists it as uncharacterized. Lineage: Eukaryota; Metazoa; Chordata; Actinopteri; Salmoniformes; Salmonidae. The transcript is spliced from 3 exons. The record is from RefSeq and is a predicted model, not a curated record.